RNAcentral lists this ribosomal RNA (500 nucleotides) under uncultured bacterium. RNAcentral describes it as "partial 16S ribosomal RNA". It matches the Rfam family "Bacterial small subunit ribosomal RNA", at positions 28 to 507 of the family's 1533-position model. The record is from RNAcentral.
GACGAACGCUGGCGGCGUGCUUAACACAUGCAAGUCGAACGGGUCUGCCCUGUUUUUUGCGGGGUGGGUCAGUGGCGAACGGGUGAGUAACACGUGAGUAACCUGCCCCUCACUUCUGGAUAACCGCUUGAAAGGGUGGCUAAUACGGGGUGUUCUGGCUGUGCCGCAUGGUGUGGCUGGGAAAGAGUCACUUUUUUGGUGUUUUGGUGGGUGAUGGGCUCGCGGCUUAUCGGCUUGUUGGGGGGGUGAUGGCCUGCGGGGGCGUUGACGGGUAGCCGGCCUGGGAGGGUCGGCGGUCACACUGGGGCUGCGAUACCGAGAAGACUACUGGAGGAGGCAGCGGGGGAGGGUAGUGCACAGUGGGAGGAAGGCUGAUGCAGCGCCGUCGCGUGAGGGAUGGAGUCCUUAGGGUUGUGAACCUCUUUCGCCGGUGAAGAAGGUCCUGCUCUUUGUGGUGGGGUUGACGGUAGCCGGGUUAUGAAGCGCCGGCUAACUACGUG